GUUCCCUUUAUUGUCUCAAAGAUUCAAUCCAAUGUCUUCACUAAUCGUGGAAUUUCAGAAUCCUAAGUCCUGGCUCUAGUGCCUCUAACCGGCCACUGGGUUUAGCUAAGUUCUUGUACUUUGAAUAUUUUCUCUUUUAGAAAUACAUGUCCAGUGGCAUAUAUAAGGUAAUUUUAAACAGUUUUAAGAGUAGAACAAAAAUAGAAGGCAAAAAUUUGUACAGUAGCAAGUUGUCUACAAGCUCAUUUAUUGUUUCUAAGCAUCAUGUCUAGAUAGAUACAACUUUAUCUACUAAGCUGUAUGGAUCUUCAUCAAUCUGGUGAGACUCCUGCAAGAGCUUCCCCGAAACUCUCCAGUUUUCCCUUCCUUCUGCAAUGCCAUUUUGAAGUUGUCAUGGAAAUGUUGAUUGUCUUGUACUCCUAGGUCUCUAAAUGUCCAGCAGCAAAUCUUAAGACUACCUUAAUGUUUUUUCAUGGAUUUGUCAAAUAAUUUGGGUUGGAAGGAACCUCAGGAAAUCAUCUAGUUCUACCUCUUGCUCAUGGUACAACUUAUAUUAAGCCAGUCAGAUCAGCUUUUUUGCUAAUUAACUAUUGAGUUAAGACAGUAUCAGACAUUGGGAACAUUUUUACAGCAAAAUCCCUGUAAAUGCCUAAAACACAUCUUAUAGAUGUAUUACUUUUCCUUGGUUGUAUUUUAUGUGCCUCUUAAUUUUCUUACCUUUCAAGCAAUACUUUCCUGAGUGUUCUGUUUGUAGCAAUGGAAAUGCUUUUGCCUAAUGACUUUUAUUAGGUUGCAGGCAGCUGGAACCGUGGCUGCCUUUCUCUGCCAGUGUGUAGAAACAGGGAAGUGGGAGGAGAGACUCAGUGUGGAGAAUGAAACAGAGAAAGGAGACAGGAGAUAUGGAACUCUUGUUCAGUAUCAUUGCAGUGUGUUAGGGUGCCUUUUCGAAAUGUGUUUGGGAGAAUCACACUCAAUGGUGUUUGCUGGCAGUGUGCAAAGAGCCUGUAAGAUUAGAGAUUUGGACAUGCUGCACCACAGCUUGAAGAGGAUAAUUCCAGCAGCAAGGGAGAGGGAAGUGCUGCUAGCUAUGGGACACCUGGCCAUUCACUAAGAAGGUGGAUUUUUAGUUGUUGUUGGGGAAUGAAAAUUGCCAACAAUUUUAAGUGUCUGUGAGCGAGUUGACCAGAUCUCUUAUCAGUACUGCUGCCUGUUUUAUGAGCACUAAAACUUGAUUGUGCUUUAGAGGAAACUAAGCAAGAUGUUGUACUAUUUCAAUUACUAGGCAAAACAAACUUGCCAGUGUUCAUGGGAAAGAAACUGCUUCCACAGAAGCUUAAAAGGAAAAACAAGGAACUUGGCUUACCUUGUGUACCAUUGAAGUGAUGUUUGUCAGUGAAAUAGUUUCAGAAUUGCAUCAACUAAGCUGAAGGGAAAUUAUUACCUCUAUAUGCAUAGCAUUCUGUGAAGUUUUAUAGUAAAGCAAACAUAACAGAAAUAAUUGCUAGUCUUGGAGCAGUAUGUGACACCUAAAGGGAAGGUUUAGCUGGUAUUGUGUGUAUGAUUCAUGGCAGGAGCAAAAGAUAGGAAACUAAGGCGGUAGUUCUGGGAAGUAUUCUGAUAUAAAUGAAUUCUAAAAGUAGUGUUCCAUUUGUUUAAACAAAAAAGAAAAAAAACAGUGUUUUUUUCCUCUGUGGGGGAUGCUGUGCAACCUUCCUUCUCUCAGGGGCCAGGAGACAUGAAAUAUUGAUGCAAUGGGAGAUACUUCUGUAGCAUUUUUGACAGAGUACCAUGGGGUAGGUCCUUUCAUCCCUUUUAUGUCUGAUGUGAGUUCUGAAAUUCUGUUCUUCAGUCAGACAAGUUGAUCUCCCUUAGGAAGUGGAAACUUCAUCAAGUACUGGUGGUCAGUCUGUUAAAUACUCUAAUUCAGGAGAUAAAAGGGGAGCUGGAGCUUUGUGGAAGGAGGCCUGUGUCUGAUUUUGAGAAGGCAAAGUUAGGCUGCUUCAAAAAGAAGAAAUAAUCCCUCACACCCCUUUCUGUUGUCUCAGGCUGCCUUUCUCGCUCCAGGGGGUGACAGUCCUACAGCAGGGCUUUGAGUAUCAUUGCAAUCUUAUGAUAUAUGUAGAUAUGUAUGUAAAUGAAAAUCUAAGAUUUGCAGAAGGCAAUAAAUCAUGUGUCCAUUUGCCUUGCAGAGUUUCCUAUCCACAGUUGGUGAGUGGGUGAGUGUAUUUGUUACUGGCAGAGCCUGUUGAAUCUAUAAUAUGCAAUUGUUUUAAAGAAAGUGAUAUUGUAAUCCAGCUUUCUAGAAUGUUUCCCGGUACUAAAAGUUUUAAAAGAAAUGCAAUUAGUUUAGGCUGGAGAUUUUGUCAAGAUUGGUUUCCCUUCUGGGAGUUGGCAUGGUUAUAGCUGUUAUUAGAUACUCAUUGUUUACUGAUGGUG
Motacilla alba alba is the source of this 2436-nucleotide long non-coding RNA. RefSeq lists it as uncharacterized. The transcript has 3 exons. The record is from RefSeq and is a predicted model, not a curated record. Lineage: Eukaryota; Metazoa; Chordata; Aves; Passeriformes; Motacillidae.